RNAcentral lists this ribosomal RNA (411 nucleotides) under uncultured Actinomycetes bacterium. RNAcentral's name for it is "bacterial SSU rRNA". It matches the Rfam family "Bacterial small subunit ribosomal RNA", at positions 777 to 1188 of the family's 1533-position model. The record is from RNAcentral. Lineage: Bacteria; Bacillati; Actinomycetota; Actinomycetes.
AUUAGAUACCCUGGUAGUCCACGCCGUAAACGGUGGGUGCUAGUUGUGGGCCACAUUCCACGUGGUCCGUGACGAAGUUAACACAUUAAGCACCCCGCCUGGGGAGUACGGUCGCAAGACUAAAACUCAAAGGAAUUGACGGGGGCCCGCACAAGCGGCGGAGCAUGCGGAUUAAUUCGAUGCAACGCGAAGAACCUUACCAAGGCUUGACAUAUAGAGGAAACGUGCAGAAAUGUACGCCCCGCAAGGUCUCUAUACAGGUGGUGCAUGGUUGUCGUCAGCUCGUGUCGUGAGAUGUUGGGUUAAGUCCCGCAACGAGCGCAACCCUCGUCCUAUGUUGCCAGCACGUAAUGGUGGGAACUCAUGGGAGACUGCCGGGGUCAACUCGGAGGAAGGUGGGGAUGACGUCAA